UACGGAGGGUGCAAGCGUUAUCCGGAUUCACUGGGUUUAAAGGGUGCGUAGGUGGGAAUGUAAGUCUGUGGUGAAAUCUCCGUGCUUAACAUGGAAACUGCCAUUGAUACUAUGUUUCUUGAAUUAUCUGGAGGUCAGCGGAAUAUGUCAUGUAGCGGUGAAAUGCUUAGAUAUGACAUAGAACACCAAUUGCGAAGGCAGCUGGCUACAGGUUGAUUGACACUGAGGCACGAAAGCGUGGGGAUCAAACAGG
Molecule: ribosomal RNA, 253 nt
Filed under: uncultured bacterium
Lineage: Bacteria
Description: partial 16S ribosomal RNA
Rfam family: Bacterial small subunit ribosomal RNA
Source: RNAcentral